Molecule: ribosomal RNA, 253 nt
Filed under: uncultured bacterium
Lineage: Bacteria
Description: partial 16S ribosomal RNA
Rfam family: Bacterial small subunit ribosomal RNA
Source: RNAcentral
UACGGAGGGUGCAAGCGUCAAUCGGAAUUACUGGGCGUAAAGGGUGCGUAGGUGGUUUAUUAAGUUAUCUGUAAAAUCCCCGGGCUUAACCUGGGCAGGUCAGAUAAGACUGGUAGACUCGAGUAUUGGAGAGGGUAGUGGAAUUUCCGGUGUAGCGGUGAAAUGCGUAGAGAUCGGAAGGAACACCAGUGGCGAAGGCGGCUACCUGGCCAGAUACUGACACUGAGGCACGAAAGCGUGGGGAGCAAACAGG